Molecule: ribosomal RNA, 460 nt
Filed under: uncultured bacterium
Lineage: Bacteria
Description: partial 16S ribosomal RNA
Rfam family: Bacterial small subunit ribosomal RNA
Source: RNAcentral
CCUACGGGUGGCAGCAGUGAGGAAUAUUGGUCAAUGGACGAGAGUCUGAACCAGCCAAGUAGCGUGAAGGAUGACUGCCCUAUGGGUUGUAAACUUCUUUUAUAAAGGAAUAAAACGAGGCACGUGUGCCUUUUUGCAUGUACUUUAUGAAUAAGGAUCGGCUAACUCCGUGCCAGCAGCCGCGGUAAUACGGAGGAUGCGAGCAUUAUCCGGAUUUAUUGGGUUUAAAGGGUGCGUAGAUGGGUUGUUAAGUCAGUUGUGAAAGUUUGGGGCUCAACCGUAAAAUUGCAAUUGAUACUGGCAGCCUUGAGUACAGUGGAGGUAGGCGGAAUGCGUGGUGUAGCGGUGAAAUGCUUAGAGAUCACGAAGAACUCCGAUUGCGAAGGCAGCUUACUAAGCUGCCACUGACAUUGAGGCUCGAAAGUGUGGGUAUCAAACAGGAUUAGAUACCCUAGUAGUC